UACGUAGGGUGCAAGCGUUGUCCGGAAUUAUUGGGCGUAAAGAGCUCGUAGGCGGUUUGUCGCGUCUGCUGUGAAAAUCCAGGGCUUAACCCUGGACCUGCAGUGGGUACGGGCAGACUAGAGUGCGGUAGGGGAGAUCGGAAUUCCUGGUGUAGCGGUGAAAUGCGCAGAUAUCAGGAGGAACACCGGUGGCGAAGGCGGAUCUCUGGGCCGUAACUGACGCUCAGGCACGAAAGCUAGGGGAGCGAACAGG
RNAcentral lists this ribosomal RNA (253 nucleotides) under uncultured bacterium. RNAcentral describes it as "partial 16S ribosomal RNA". It matches the Rfam family "Bacterial small subunit ribosomal RNA", at positions 524 to 776 of the family's 1533-position model. The record is from RNAcentral.